ACUCAAAUGAAUUGACGGGAGAGCGCACAACCAGGGGAGCAUGUGGUUUAAUUCGAUACGAAGCGAAAGACCUUACCCAGAUUUGACAUGUAAUCGUACAUUUUUUCAGAAAUGAGAAGAAAUCCGCAAGGAUGAUUACACAGCUGUUGCAUGGCUGUCGUAAGCUCGUGCCGUGGGGUGUCGACUUAAGUGUCGAAACGAGCGCAACCCCCAUCUUAUGUUCAAUAGUCAUGAGAAACUGCUCUGCUUUUGGUAGAGAGGAAGGAGGGGAUGACGUCAAGUCAGCAUGACGCUUAUAUCUGGGGCUACACACAUCCUACAAUGGGACGUAACAACGGGUUGCCAAGCCGUAAGGCGGAGCCAAUCCCACCAAACCGUCCCCCAGUUCAGAUCGAGGGCUGCAACUCGCCCUCGUGAAGCCGGACUUGGUAGUAAUCGCAGAUCAGCAGGCUGCGGUGAAUACGUUCUCGCUCUUUGUACACACCGCCCGU
RNAcentral lists this ribosomal RNA (491 nucleotides) under uncultured bacterium. Its description in RNAcentral is "partial 16S ribosomal RNA". It matches the Rfam family "Bacterial small subunit ribosomal RNA", at positions 899 to 1397 of the family's 1533-position model. The record is from RNAcentral.